CUAGUACUCCCUCCGUCCAAAAAUACUUGUCAGAGAAAUGAACGUAUCUAGACAUAUGUUAGUUCUAGAUACAUCCAUUUUUAUUGGUUCCUUCGACAAGUAAUUACGGAUGGAGGGAGUAUUUA
Molecule: non-coding RNA, 125 nt
Organism: Triticum aestivum (bread wheat)
Lineage: Eukaryota; Viridiplantae; Streptophyta; Magnoliopsida; Poales; Poaceae
Source: Rfam